GGAUCUUUAGCUCAGAUGGUUAGAGCAACCGGCUCAUAACCGGUUGGUCCGGGGUUCGAGUCCCUGAAGGUCCACCA
RNAcentral lists this transfer RNA (77 nucleotides) under Clostridium isatidis. RNAcentral's name for it is "tRNA-Met". It matches the Rfam family "tRNA". From Rfam's summary of the family: Transfer RNA (tRNA) molecules are approximately 80 nucleotides in length. Their secondary structure includes four short double-helical elements and three loops (D, anti-codon, and T loops). The record is from RNAcentral. RNAcentral also lists the same sequence under 1 other name. Lineage: Bacteria; Bacillati; Bacillota; Clostridia; Eubacteriales; Clostridiaceae.